ACGGGAGGCAGCAGUGGGGAAUAUUGGGCAAUGGGCGAAAGCCUGACCCAGCGACGCCGCGUGAAGGAAGAAGGUCUUCGGAUUGUAAACUUCUGUUAACUAGGGACGAAACAAAUGACGGUACCUAGAGAGAAAGCCACGGCUAACUACGUGCCAGCAGCCGCGGUAAUACGUAGGUGGCAAGCGUUAUCCGGAUUUACUGGGCGUAAAGGGUGUGUAGGCGGGACCGCAAGUCAGAUGUGAAAAUUAUGGGCUCAACCCAUAACCUGCAUUUGAAACUGUGGUUCUUGAGGAUCGGAGAGGUAACUGGAACUCCCAGUGUAGCGGUGAAAUGCGUAGAUAUUGGGAAGAACACCGGCGGCGAAGGCGGGUUACUGGACGAUUACUGACGCUGAGACACGAAAGUGUGGGGAGCAAACAGGAUUAGAUACCCUGGUA
This 438-nucleotide ribosomal RNA is filed under the name uncultured Oscillospiraceae bacterium. RNAcentral describes it as "partial 16S ribosomal RNA". It matches the Rfam family "Bacterial small subunit ribosomal RNA", at positions 341 to 792 of the family's 1533-position model. Lineage: Bacteria; Bacillati; Bacillota; Clostridia; Eubacteriales; Oscillospiraceae. RNAcentral also lists the same sequence under 1 other name. The record is from RNAcentral.